UGGGGAAUCUUCCGCAAUGGGCGAAAGCCUGACGGAGCAAUGCCGCGUGGAGGUAGAAGGCCCCCGGGUCGUAAACUCCUUUUCUCGGAGAAGAAGCAGUGACGGUAUCCGAAGAAUAAGCAUCGGCUAACUCUGUGCCAGCAGCCGCGGUAAGACAGGGGAUGCAAGCGUUAUCCGGAAUGAUUGGGCGUAAAGCGUCUGUAGGUGGCUCCUUAAGUCCGCUGUCAAAUCCCAGGGCUCAACCCUGGACAGGCGGUGGAAACUACUAAGCUGGAGUACGGUAGGGGCAGGGGGAAUUUCCGGUGGAGCGGUGAAAUGCGUAGAGAUCGGAAAGAACACCAAAGGCGAAGGCACCCUGCUGGGCCGACACUGACACUGAGAGACGAAAGCUAGGGGAGAGAAUGGG
Molecule: ribosomal RNA, 406 nt
Filed under: Acidobacteriota bacterium
Lineage: Bacteria; Pseudomonadati; Acidobacteriota
Description: Acidobacteria bacterium partial 16S ribosomal RNA
Rfam family: Bacterial small subunit ribosomal RNA
Source: RNAcentral